Molecule: long non-coding RNA, 312 nt
Filed under: Cyanistes caeruleus (blue tit)
Lineage: Eukaryota; Metazoa; Chordata; Aves; Passeriformes; Paridae
Description: lncRNA (ENSCCEG00000010878.1)
Source: RNAcentral
UUGAAACUACAAGUGGAGAUCAUUACCGUUCCUGAAGUAAUUUUUUUUUUUUUUCAGGUCUUUUUUGUUCAGGAGGUCCUCAAGUGCUGUGGAAAAAUAGAAGAGUGUCAAUAACGGAUUUGAACAUGAGCUGCCAACAAGCUGGAUGAACUGUUUGUCUGUCACAUUCACUGAAUAUCCUGAAGUAUUCCUGACAAGAAAGUUGCUGAAUCACAUCACUGUGCAGAGUACAUUCCUCAAAUGGCCUUUCUCUAACGAUGGAAAAAAAAAUAAGUGAAAAAGAAAGCAGCACCAAACCUGCAUUAAAACUCA